Molecule: ribosomal RNA, 807 nt
Filed under: Triticum aestivum (bread wheat)
Lineage: Eukaryota; Viridiplantae; Streptophyta; Magnoliopsida; Poales; Poaceae
Description: partial small subunit ribosomal RNA
Source: RNAcentral
AUGGACCCCGAGCAGGCGGUGGAGAUGGUCGACGAGAACACCAUCUGCGUGGCGGCGAUCCUAGGCUCCACGCUCAACGGCGAGUUCGAGGACGUGAAGCGCAUCAACGACCUGCUCGAAGAGAAGAACAAGGAGACAGGGUGGGAGACGGCGAUCCACGUGGACGCGGCGAGCGGCGGCUUCAUCGCGCCGUUCCUGUACCCGGAGCUGGAGUGGGACUUCCGGCUGCCGUGGGUGAAGAGCAUCAACGUCAGCGGCCACAAGUACGGCCUCGUCUACCCCGGCAUCGGCUGGUGCGUCUGGCGCACCAAGGAGGACCUGCCGGACGACCUCGUCUUCCACAUCAACUACCUCGGCACCGACCAGCCCACCUUCACGCUCAACUUCUCCAAGGGCUCCAGCCAGGUCAUCGCGCAGUACUACCAGCUCAUCCGCCACGGCUUCGAGGGGCACAAGAACAUCAUGGAGAACUGCCAGGAGAAUGCCAUGGUGAUCAAGGAGGGCCUGGAGAAGACGGGCCGCUUCAACAUCGUGUCCAAGGACCAAGGCGUGCCACUGGUGGCCUUCUCCCUCAAGGACCACACCCGCCACGACGAGUUUGAGGUCUCCGACAUGCUGCGCCGCUUCGGCUGGAUCGUGCCGGCGUACACCAUGCCCGCCGACGCGCAGCACGUCACAGUGCUCCGCGUCGUUAUCCGGGAGGAGUUCAGCCGCACCCUCGCCGAGCGCCUGGUCCUCGACAUCGACACCGUCAUGAACCAGCUCGACGCGCUCCCGUCCAACGACGUCUGCAGUAAUAAGCAGUGA